Molecule: transfer RNA, 71 nt
Filed under: Marmota monax (woodchuck)
Lineage: Eukaryota; Metazoa; Chordata; Mammalia; Rodentia; Sciuridae
Description: tRNA.Ala
Source: RNAcentral
UGAAGAUAUAGCUCAACUGGUACAGUGCUUGCCUUGCAUGCACAAAGCCCUGGGUUCAAUCCUCAGUUUAA